CCUCCCCUGUAUCCCACACAGGGCCCCUUCAACACCCCAAUCCCAGUCCCGUGGGCUCCCCAGUUCCCCCCAGUUCAGCAUCUUUGGGUCCCCUCCUACUCCCCCCACCCUCCCUGCAGGCCCUGAAUUCCCCUGGCUCUCCUUGUCUCCAUCCCCACCCUGGGCCCUGCAGGCACAGGGGUUGGAGGUGAAACUGGGUGCAGUGGGAGCAGGGGGAGCAGAAGGGAUUUUCCCCCUCAGACGGGGGCAGCCCUGGGCUGGGGGGGCUGGGGACACCCGUGUCCCUCCCCCAGCCCCACAGGGGCCAAUCCUGCUUAACCCUUUGCUCUCCUUGCCCAGGCACUCUUGGCAGGAACCCAAAAUGAUCUGCGGGAGGUGAGUGGGCCGGGGGGACUGGAGGGCAUCCAGUCUGGGAACUGGGGGACACUUUGGUCCCCCCAUCCAUCGCUGGCACCAGGGACAUCCCAGUGACCAGCCAGGGCUCCUGGUCUCUCUCCAGCUGCAUUUAGUGGACGUUGGGAUCCUGAAGAUGGCUCAGGCUCCCAAUACAUCCCACUGCACCCAGUGUGUCUCUGAGCCUGUCUUUGUCCCCAGCCCCCUGUGGUUGAGGAGGUGGUGGGUCUUGUUGGUGAGAAAGGCGUGGCUGCAUCCCUGGAUGUCUGAGGACUGGUGGUGACACCCGUGCCCUGUCCCCCUCCAGUGGCAUGAGGAGAUGAUCAUCCCUGGAAGAACCCCCUGAUUUCCCUCAGAGCCCAGGGGCAUUUUCCCUGAAUGAUCAAUAAAUCUC
Long non-coding RNA from Pseudopipra pipra, 787 nucleotides. RefSeq lists it as uncharacterized. The record is from RefSeq and is a predicted model, not a curated record. The transcript is spliced from 3 exons. Lineage: Eukaryota; Metazoa; Chordata; Aves; Passeriformes; Pipridae.